AAAGUCACAACCAGUCAUUUCAAAUAAAGUCAUUUUGCAAAUGUAAUAUUUCAGAAACCAUAAAGGAUUUGCAUACAUUGACAAUAGUGUUAAUAUUAAAAUCAAAAUAAAAAUUGUGAGAAUGCAAUUGAUGAACAGAUGCAGUAAAAUAUCAAAAGAUAUCAGAAAACCAAGAAAAUGAUGAUGAUGACACAUCUUCACCUGAGCAAGUGAAAUUUAUUGCAGGAUUACAGUUCUAUUUCAUGCAGGAAGAUAAUGAAUAUAUUUAUACUGAUUUUGUUCAGUUGUGAAAACCACUCUGAAGCUACCUGUAUGGACACUUUUGUCCUCUUAAAAAAAUAAACAGAAGAUAAAAUGAAAAAUAAGAGCAACACAUCAUUUUUCAGCAAUAGUGUAAUUAGACUGAUAUAUAGGAAACUAUGUAAUGAGAGGCUUAUGAUGUUUAUAGAGAGAUGACAAAGUUGGAGAAUCAGCUCUUGAGAUCAGCACAUCAAGUGUUCAAUGGAGAUACUAACAUUUGAAAAUGUGGGAGAAAAGAAAAGCAGUGUACCUUCCUAUCAGCAGUUCUAGUGAAGAUAAAGGAGCAAAGAUAGCAUUUGUCUUAACAACAUUAUGUUUAAGAAGAAAAAUAUUAACAAAAUUUAAGAAAAAAUAUGAACAAAAGAAAGAAGGUAGAAGAAUAAAUAUCAUUCUUUCCCAGAUAUGUCCACACAACUCAGGAUUGAAUAGCUCUCACUCCUGUUUAAGAAU
This 750-nucleotide long non-coding RNA is filed under the name Androctonus crassicauda. The record is from RNAcentral. Lineage: Eukaryota; Metazoa; Arthropoda; Arachnida; Scorpiones; Buthidae.